CGGCCCGCCCUCCUUCCUUCCUGCCUUCCUUCCUCCCUCCCUCCCUCACCGCACCGCCCGCCCUUUCCUGCGCCCGCCUUCCCCCGCAGCCGGCGCGGGACAGGAUGGGACAGGACGGGACGGGGAGAAAUAGCCCAGUCACGGACUGGAGCCUAUGAGGAGUCCCUGGGGGCAGGGUGGGGUGGGGAAGCUAUCGGCAGUCUUGGGGAGGGUACCUCGCGCUCCGUCAGGGACGAUCUCAAAUCUCCGCUGCCUUCCUCCUUUCAGGCUAGUUGGAAUGCAAAAGAUCUAUGUAAAUGUAUCCUCUGACUGCAGCUGCUGUGGAAAAAGAAGAAAUUAUAAGGAAGGUAAGAAACUUUGCUUUGAUGAUUUCUCAUUAGAGGUUUCACUUCCUUAACCAUCCCAUCUCACCAUCCUCCUUGUCCCACUGGUGAUGUGGCAUGCAGAAUGCUGACUCAGGAGUACAUGCCCCAGAUUCUCCUCCUUACUGCCUUUUUUGCUUACAUGUCAUUGCCUGCUUUGCUCCAAUCCCAGACCUUCCAGUGUCAUUCAGCACAUCUCCUCUCUCUUUGGGAUAAAAAGUGUGAAGCAACAGAAAGUACAAGAAUUUGCAGCAUAGCAAGUCUGUAGUUUCACUAGGCAGAGCAAGGCAGAGCCAGUACCACACCACAUCCUUGUUACUCCAGUGCCCUCUGCCGAAGUAACCAUCUCCUUGGCUUCUGAGUCCUGCUGGGCAGGGGCAGGAGCCUCUGCCAAGUGCCAUAUGCUGCCACCUCUUUAUCUUACACUUUACUUCCUUGGUAUAUUUCCUUUUCUAUUCUGUCUCAACAGAAAAGCAGAAAUAUGACCCCUUACUUCCUUUUCUUGCUCCAGUGGGACUUAGGUUGAAGUUUGUUCUUUUCAUUCAUAGCAUUGCUGCAUCACAUUUUACAGCAGCCUCUUAGUGAGCUUAGGAAGGUAACAUAUAUGUUGGGAUGAUAAACAAUUAAGACAAUUAUAUUUUAUAAGAAUUCCAGCGUGUGUGUGUAUAUAAAGCUGAAAAUCACCUAAAUUAACAAUGUAAUUUUUGUUCCUUUCUGGGAAGUUUACUCAUGUACUAUAAAACUGGGAGAAAAUGAGAGACAGGUAAGGCGAUACAGUCAGUACCUUUGUUUAGCUGCAUGUAAACCCACAGCUUACUCUCAUUUUGCAGGAGAAGCUAAAUUGUAAAGGUUAAGCAACUUUUCAUGUUCACACAGCAAGCAGUGGCAAGAUAAGGAGUCUGGUCUCCUGUUCCAACCACUAGACCUUGUACAUCCUCCAUUCUCAUGCAAGUUACAGUAAUUACAUUAAGACUAAACUGCCAUCUGAAUAAUUUUUCCAAUUGAAUUUCCGGGGAAAGCACUCUUACCACAUGUAAAAGGUAGGAAUGUCUUACAUCUCUGUAGUCACAUCACAUUUCUGCAAUAAAAGAAAAUGUGCUGAUGAUUUCCUGGAAUUAUCCUUGCUUUGUGUUAUCCAUAAAGACUCCAAGUUUGGUACUGGUUGAUUUGAGAACACAAGACUUCCCCAGUGCAUCUUCCAAGAAAUAGGACUGUCAAUUCCCACAGGAAAAUCAAGGGCCAACCUUAGCUAAUCCUAACACAUGAAUAAAUGCAUAAAGCAUGUUUGGGUGUUUUUAUAUUAGUGUGGAUCUCAAGGAUCUGCUGCUUAUUCAGAUCUCAGUUCUCAGAGAUUUUAUUUAAAAAGUAUAUUGUUCAGGUAAUGGCAGAGGGACAUGUUUUAUACUCCUCAGUGGCUUUUCAAAAGAGAUAGAAACAAAAAUCAAUUUUAUAAUACACAAAUAUAUAUUUAAUAUAUGUAUUUAUAUAUAUAUAUAUGUAGCUGCAGCAUAUGCUUGAUAAACAGCUCACAAAAUAUUAUUUUCAGUGAAAACCCGUCAAAAUUUGUUUAGGUGGGCUGAGAUUACUUUUUGGAGAUCAUAGCUGUAUGGUAAUUUCUGUUAGUCUUUUACCAGGUUCUAUAUACCAUUUCUUCUCUGUCAGGCACACAUGCAAGCCCCUGUGGAUACAAAAAUGCUGCUAGCAAGAAUUUUCUUGCUAUUUUGUAAGUCCAUGAGAGACUUUUCUCUCUCACAGAAAAUAGUAGCAGAGUUCUAUAAACAAUGAAACACCUGCAACCUUGAGAAGCCUUGUUUAUAGUAUAGUAGAACAAUAUUUUGACAGCGGAUGUUUUAAGAUUUUAGCCAAUCACCCCCAAGGGGUGGCUGAUCCUUUGUCCAAUUAGACUAUGAAGAAAAAAGUCUAUAAAAGAGUUUGUAAAAUAAUUAAAUAAAUCAAUCUUGCUUCACAGUUCCUGCCAGCUGGAUCUUCUCCCCUCCUCCCUACGGCUGCGGGACAUGGUAAUAUUUUACAGCAUUAAUAAACCCCCACCUUUUUUAUAAGAAUUUCCUCCUCCAGUUUUAAAUUUCUUUUCAGCACAGUAUUCUCAGUUUCCUCCCAUUACUCUACUGGUAAAAAGCUGUUAAACAUCAUUCCAGCAGUUCAAUUUCAGCAGGAAACACUGAAAUUUCUGUAUUGUAAAUGUACAGUACAGUUUAUUCCUGUUGUGUAUGUUCUUCUGGUUUUGGUAAAUUUUCAUCAAGAAUUACAUCAUUAAUCCUAGCAUUUAAGGAUUUUUUUUAAAUUUGACAUUUCAACUGUUAUUUUUUUGAAAUUGCUUAAGAAGAAGACAGAUUUUGUAAGAAGAAGUUGCUAUCUUUUCAUUGUCUAUAAAAGAUUUUUUUCAAGCUUUCUCAGAGGCUUUUAUAAUCUGACAUGCCAUAAUGAUGUUCCCUACUCUUCUUUGAUUCUAGCAGGUGAAGGAAACAGCAUUUACAGAA
Long non-coding RNA from Corvus hawaiiensis (hawaiian crow), 2860 nucleotides. RefSeq lists it as uncharacterized. Lineage: Eukaryota; Metazoa; Chordata; Aves; Passeriformes; Corvidae. The record is from RefSeq and is a predicted model, not a curated record. The transcript is spliced from 2 exons.